CCUACGGGUGGCAGCAGUAGGGAAUAUUGCUCAAUGGGGGAAACCCUGAAGCAGCAACGCAGCGUGGAGGAUGAAGGUUUUCGGAUUGUAAACUCCUUUUGUUAGAGAAGAUAAUGAAGGUAUCUAACGAUUAAGUAUUGGCUAACUCAGUGACAGCAGCCGCGGUAAUACGGAGGAGGCUGGCGUUACCCGGAAUAACUGGGCGUAAAGAGCGCGUAGGCGGGAUAGCAAGUCAGAUGUGAAAUCCUAUGGCUCAACCAUAGAACUGCAUUUGAAACUGGUAUUCUAGAGUAGAGGAGAGGUAGGUGGAAUUCUUGGUGUAGCGGUAAAAUGCUUAGAGAUCAAGAAGAACACUGAUUGCGAAGGCGACCUGCUAG
RNAcentral lists this ribosomal RNA (377 nucleotides) under uncultured bacterium. RNAcentral describes it as "partial 16S ribosomal RNA". It matches the Rfam family "Bacterial small subunit ribosomal RNA", at positions 338 to 732 of the family's 1533-position model. The record is from RNAcentral.